RNAcentral lists this ribosomal RNA (253 nucleotides) under uncultured bacterium. RNAcentral's name for it is "partial 16S ribosomal RNA". It matches the Rfam family "Bacterial small subunit ribosomal RNA", at positions 524 to 776 of the family's 1533-position model. The record is from RNAcentral.
UACAGAGGGGGCAAGCGUUGUUCGGAAUUACUGGGCGUAAAGGGCGCGUAGGCGGCCUUCUAAGUCAUGCGUGAAAUCCCCGGGCUCAACCCGGGAACUGCGUCUGAUACUGGCAGGCUCGAAUCCGGGAGAGGGAUGUGGAAUUCCAGGUGUAGCGGUGAAAUGCGUAGAUAUCUGGAGGAACACCGGUGGCGAAGGCGGCGACCUGGGCCAAUAUUGACGCUGAGGUGCGAAAGCGUGGGGAGCAAACAGG